Molecule: ribosomal RNA, 404 nt
Filed under: Fusobacteriota bacterium
Lineage: Bacteria; Fusobacteriati; Fusobacteriota
Description: Fusobacteria bacterium partial 16S ribosomal RNA
Rfam family: Bacterial small subunit ribosomal RNA
Source: RNAcentral
UGGGGGAUAUUGCACAAUGGGCGAAAGCCUGAUGCAGCGACGCCGCGUGGGGGAUGAAGGCUUUCGGUAGGUAAAGCUCUAUCAGCAGGGAAGAAAAUGACGGUACCUGACUAAGAAGCCCCGGCUAACUACGUGCCAGCAGCCGCGGUAAUACGUAGGGGGCAAGCGUUAUCCGGAUUUACUGGGUGUAAAGGGAGCGUAGACGGCGAAGCAAGUCUGAAGUGAAAACCCAGGGCUCAACCCUGGGACUGCUUUGGAAACUGUUUUGCUAGAGUGUCGGAGAGGUAAGUGGAAUUCCUAGUGUAGCGGUGAAAUGCGUAGAUAUUAGGAGGAACACCAGUGGCGAAGGCGGCUUACUGGACGAUAACUGACGUUGAGGCUCGAAAGCGUGGGGAGCAAACAGG